Molecule: transfer RNA, 92 nt
Organism: Tilletiaria anomala
Lineage: Eukaryota; Fungi; Basidiomycota; Exobasidiomycetes; Georgefischeriales; Tilletiariaceae
Rfam family: tRNA
About the family: Transfer RNA (tRNA) molecules are approximately 80 nucleotides in length.
Source: Rfam
GGACCAUUAGCACAGUGGUAGUUGCGCGGGAUUGCAACGUGUUAAGUACACUAAAUAUCCUGAGGUCGCCGGUUCGAUCCUGGCAUGGUCCU